GAACGACUCUCGGCAACGGAUAUCUCGGCUCACGCAUCGAUGAAGAACGUAGCAAAAUGCGAUACUUGGUGUGAAUUGCAGAAUCCCGUGAACCAUCGAGUUUUUGAACGCAAGUUGCGCCCGAAGCCAUCCGGCCGAGGGCACGCCUGCCUGGGCGUCACG
This 162-nucleotide ribosomal RNA is filed under the name Chlorocrepis staticifolia. RNAcentral's name for it is "5.8S ribosomal RNA". It matches the Rfam family "5.8S ribosomal RNA". Rfam says of the family: 5.8S ribosomal RNA (5.8S rRNA) is a component of the large subunit of the eukaryotic ribosome. Lineage: Eukaryota; Viridiplantae; Streptophyta; Magnoliopsida; Asterales; Asteraceae. The record is from RNAcentral.